Molecule: long non-coding RNA, 675 nt
Filed under: Olea europaea subsp. europaea
Lineage: Eukaryota; Viridiplantae; Streptophyta; Magnoliopsida; Lamiales; Oleaceae
Source: RNAcentral
UGCUUAUUUCAUAAAAAAAAUAUAUAUAUAUAUAUACACACACAUGUGUGUGUAUUUACCAACAUAUUCCACCAAAAUUAUAAACACACCAAAUAGAUAUAUUCAACUAAAACUAUUAACGCAAUGCAAGUUAGCAAGAAUAUUGUACCUGUGGUCUGUGGCUGUGUCCAUUUCCUUAACUAAUAUUCCAAUUCCCAAAGAUUAAAUAGCAACAAUAUGUGCUUCAGUAAUUUGUUUCAUCAUGAAUUAAGAAAUCAAAACCAAUAAACAAAAUCAUUCUAUAGAAGUAAUGAAAAGAGGGGGAAAACACAUUGGUUGAUUAUUUUAUUCAACUAAUAUGAAAAUCAGACACUUUAUCUGAUAGAAGCAGCCAAGAGAGUUACCAUAUUCACUGGAGGUCUGUCCAAGUCAAAAUUCUUGCAGUUAAGGUCUGUCCAAAUUACCAAUUGAGAGGUGCAAUGUUCAGUGAGGUCGAGAAGCGAUGGUCACAGCUGAACAACAAAGCUUGACCUUGAAAGAAUUGGUGAUAGAACUCAUGGAAGAUCAACAUUGGCAACUGGCAAGUUAAAAGGAAGAAUGGAUUAUGGAAGAUCGAUGGCGGCGGAGGCCUGAGAUCUAGAGGAAGAGCAAGAAGGAAAUAAAAAUUAGGGCUUGCUGCCUGAGUUGCUGGCUGAC